Molecule: ribosomal RNA, 368 nt
Filed under: uncultured organism
Description: bacterial LSU rRNA
Rfam family: Bacterial large subunit ribosomal RNA
Source: RNAcentral
CUUUACUGUAGCUUUGCAUUGGACUUUGACGGGACUUGUGUAGGAUAGGUGGGAGGCUUUGAAACCGGGACGCCAGUUCCGGUGGAGCCAACCUUGAAAUACCACCCUGGUGUCGUCGAGGUUCUAACCCAGGCCUGUGAAUCCAGGUCGGGGACCGUGCAUGGUGGGCAGUUUGACUGGGGCGGUCUCCUCCCAAAAGGUAACGGAGGAGUACGAAGGUCACCUAGGUACGGUCGGACAUCGUACUGAUAGUGCAAUGGCAAAAGGUGGCUUGACUGCGAGACCCACAAGUCGAGCAGGUGCGAAAGCAGGUCAUAGUGAUCCGGUGGUUCUGUAUGGAAGGGCCAUCGCUCAACGGAUAAAAGGUA